UGCAGUCGAACGAAUCCCAGUGGGGGUAACUCUGCUGGGGGAAGUGGCAAAAGGGGCAGUAAGGCAUAGGUAACCUACCCUGGAGUUGGGCAUAGCCGUUCUAACGAACGGGUAAUUCCCGAUGGCCCAGCGAGGAGACAUCUUCUUGCUGGUAAAGAGUUUCGCUCUGGGAGGGGCCUAUGUGCUAUUAGCUAGUUGGCGGGGUAACGGCCCACCAAGGCUAAGAUGGCUAGCGGGUGUGAGAGCACGACCCGCGCCACUGGCACUGAGACACUGGCCAGACACCUACGGGUGGCUGCAGUCGAGGAUCUUCGUCAAUGGUCGAAAGACUGAACGAGCGACGCCGCGUGCGCGAUGAAGGCCUUCGGGUUGUAAAGCGCGAAAGUAGGGACGAAAGUCGAAAGAUUUGACCGAGGGGGGAGUAAGCUCGGGCUAAGUUCGUGCCAGCAGCCGCGGUAAGACGAACCGAGCAAACGUUAUUCGGAAUCACUGGGCUUAAAGGGCGCGUAGGCGGGUAUCCAAGUCUAUGGUGAAAUCCGGCAGCUUAACUGUCGAACUGCCGUGGAUACUGGGUACCUCGAGGAAGGUAGGGGCAUGCGGAACUAACGGUGGAGCGGUGAAAUGCGUUGAUAUCGUUAGGAACUCCGGUGGCGAAGGCGGCAUGCUGGACCUUUUCUGACGCUGAGGCGCGAAAGCCAGG
This 700-nucleotide ribosomal RNA is filed under the name uncultured bacterium. Its description in RNAcentral is "bacterial SSU rRNA". It matches the Rfam family "Bacterial small subunit ribosomal RNA", at positions 56 to 764 of the family's 1533-position model. The record is from RNAcentral.